Molecule: long non-coding RNA, 218 nt
Filed under: Mytilus galloprovincialis (Mediterranean mussel)
Lineage: Eukaryota; Metazoa; Mollusca; Bivalvia; Mytilida; Mytilidae
Source: RNAcentral
CUUAUUUAAAACAGAGUUACGACCAUCACAAAUUUUCGUUACGACCAUCCUCAACAUUUUUGUUUUUUUAGUUACGACCAUCAUGCUCGAAUUUUUGAAUGACUAUUUUACGAAAAUUGGAAUGUUUUAAUGCAUCAAAUUUGGUUUCAAUAUCUCCGAACCACCGAAUAGUAUGUAUGAGACAAGCGGUUUGACUCAAAUGAACCUUUUACUGCACG